CACCGCCUGGGGAGUACGACCGCAAGGUUAAAACUCAAAUGAAUUGACGGGGACCCGCACAAGCAGUGGAGCAUGUGGUUUAAUUCGAAGAUACGCGCAGAACCUUACCAACACUUGACAUGUUCGCCGCGAGCCUAAGAGAUUAGGCUUUUCAGUUUGGCUGGACGAAACACAGGUGCUGCGUGGCUGUCGUCAGCUCGUGUCGUGAGAUGUUGGGUUAAGUCCCGCAACGAGCGCAACCCCUACUUUUAGUUGCUACCAUUUAGUUGGGCACUCUAAAAGAACUGCCAGUGAUAAGCUGGAGGAAGGUGGGGAUGACGUCAAGUCCUCAUGGCCCUUACGUGUUGGGCUACACACGUGCUACAAUGGUACUUACAGUGAGAAGCAAAGAGGCAACUCUAAGCCAAUCCCAAAAAUGUACCUCAGUUCGGAUUGUACUCUGCAACUCGAGUGCAUGAAGCUGGAAUUGCUAGUAAUCGCGGAUCAGCGCGCCGCGGUGAAUACGUUCCCGGGUCUUGUACACACCGCCCGUCACACCAUGGAAGUUGGUUACACCUUAAGGCAAAGCGUAAAACCUUUGACUACGGUACGAUCAGCGACUGGGGUGAAGUCGUAACAAGGUAGCCGUAGGGGAACCUGCGGCUGGAUCACCUCCUUUCUAAGGAAGUCAGGAAGUAUUUUCUGACUUUAAAAAAAUCGGUAAUGUGACCGUCCUCAUUUCUCUUCUUUAUAAAUGUCUCUGAGUAGAUGUAAGUAAGGGGCCGGUAGCUCAGGUGGUUAGAGCGCACCCCUGAUAAGGGUGAGGUCGGAAGUUCGAGUCUUCCUCGGCCCACCAUUUUUUUAGGGGGAUUAGCUCAGCUGGGAGAGCGCCUGAUUUGCAUUCAGGAGGUCAGCGGUUCGAUCCCGCUAUCCUCCACCAAAAUUUGAGACAUUCAGCUUUUUUAAAUUGUAAAUAUUAAUAUCAAUAUCUAUAUCCGAUUGUUUUCAGAUAUUUUUUUGAAAACAAUCAAACAAAAAAUUUAAUUUAUAACAGAAAAAUUUUUUUCUG
This 1048-nucleotide small RNA is filed under the name uncultured Pelagibacterales bacterium. RNAcentral's name for it is "bacterial SSU rRNA". The stretch from base 1 to 658 matches the Rfam family "Bacterial small subunit ribosomal RNA", at positions 867 to 1533 of the family's 1533-position model. The record is from RNAcentral. Lineage: Bacteria; Pseudomonadati; Pseudomonadota; Alphaproteobacteria; Candidatus Pelagibacterales.